UAGGGGUUCUGCAUCUCAUGAAGCAGCCGCA
This 31-nucleotide non-coding RNA is filed under the name Homo sapiens (human). Lineage: Eukaryota; Metazoa; Chordata; Mammalia; Primates; Hominidae. The record is from RNAcentral.